UUGGGGAAAUAUCCUAGCGUGGAUAGAAGACUUUCUAUAUGACUGCAAGCAGUGUGUGGUGAUUAAUGGCACUAAAUCAUUAUCUGUACCUGUCACAAAAGGGGUACCACAGGGCAGUGCUAAUUACUUAUCAACUAUUGGUUUCCAAGGAAUGAUUUAGGCAUUUAUGUGUUAUUCUGAAAGUACUUAUUGUAUCUCCCUGUGAAUGGUGUUAGGCACAGUUUCAGUCAUUGAGAGAGCACAAAUACAAAAUAAAAGUCUCUGUGGCAGUGGUGCCUUAACAGCUUGCUUGCCAAUUUGUAUUCACUCUAGGUAUUUACAACCUCUUCCGCAGUCACUGAUGACACUAUCAACUGAUUUAACUAAAGGCACAGUACUACACUCCCUGGUUGACCUUUGGGUGGCUAAUCACAGCAGUGACCACAACUCCGUAAAAAAAAAAAAAUUGUUUCUUCUUAUGACAAAGGUUUUGUGGUUGUAGGCCUCUUGACCUGGGCUGUACCUCCAACUCAGUGGAGAUUGAGUUUUAAAAAAUACAAUCGCACCUAGCAUUAAAAAAUCCUGCUACGACUUGACAGUCCAGGAAAUAACCUCCUGAGCCGUCGGUAAGACAUUUAUUAAUAAUAUUAUUGUCAUAUAAAUAACGUUAAUAAUACCGAGUAGUGUUGGUAUAUUAUUAACCUGAGCUAAAGUGUAAUUAAUGGUUAAUUUAGUCUAUUGUGUUGGGUCGCCAGGCACAGGUAUCUUUUAUAUCAAAACUUAAUGAUAAGCUGCAGCCAUAUUUCACAUUAUAAGGUAGAGAUUCAUUUAUUUCAGUUGUCCAUCACAUUAUAAGGUAGAGUUUCAUUUAUUUCAGUUGUCCAUCACAUUAUAAGGUAGAGUUUCAUUUAUUUCAGUUGUCCAUCACAUUAUAAGGUAGAGUUUCAUUUAUUUCAGUUGUCCAUCACAUUAUAAGGUAGAGUUUCAUUUAUUUCAGUUGUCCAUCACAUUAUAAGGUAGAGAUUCAUUUAUUUCAGUUGUCCAUCACAUUAUAAGGUAGAGUUUAAUUGGUAAAUUAUUGCUUUCAGACAACAGGGGAUCUUAGGAGUUUAUCUUUGCGGUCAAUAGUUAGACAAGCCUAAGACGUCAUAAUUUUAUAAGACGUUUGUGAGGGAAACGUCGUAGAAGAGAAGCGUCUUAGGUUUGUCUAAAUUAUUGAUUGGAAAAAUAAAAUUCCUAAGAAUC
Homarus americanus (American lobster) is the source of this 1224-nucleotide long non-coding RNA. RefSeq lists it as uncharacterized. The record is from RefSeq and is a predicted model, not a curated record. NCBI's taxonomy places the organism in Eukaryota, Metazoa, Arthropoda, Malacostraca, Decapoda, Nephropidae. The transcript has 2 exons.